ACUACACAACAGACAUAAGAAAAUAUAUAGAAAAAUGAUAUAAGAUGGUAACUACCGAUGAAAUCGAGGAUGAUGCGUCCAUCGGAGCAGCGAGCGGAGGGGCGGUGAAAGAAGGUUCGGCCGUAGGGAGGAGAAAAGCAAUUGUGAGAGGGUAAGGCGGAACUGAGGUACAAGUUUCCGGUGUCAGCGAGGGAAUCGCCGAAGCUGAAGAUGGAGGAGAAGGGGCACGCCGUCGCUGAACCCGUCACAACAACAACUAGUGCUACUGCUACCACCAUCCAUCGUUGUUCCGCCAUGUUAGUUUUAUCGGCGCAUCACACGAACAAACAACGUGGGUCAGUGCUACAUAUGAACCGCAUUUAUUCUAAGAAACUCUUACUUUAAUCAUCUUUUACCAAGAGUCUCUCAUUUGAGAUGUUGAAAUUUGCAUGAGGCUCACUAAAGAUAUCACUUAUGAGGCUUCAUUAUUUAUUAAAAAAAAUAUGAGCUCCAUAUUUUACAAUAUAUGUAAUCAAUUAAUUACAUAAAUUAAAAAAAAAUAAAGUUGAAUAUGAGUUUUUGUAGCUUUGCUCUCCUCUUUAGUCUUUAUUCAGAUAGUGCUCCUCACGCCUAACCCUGCCAUUCAAAAACACGUGGUACACAUCAACAUCAUGAUUUGAAAUUUUCCAAAACUAGUUUUAGUCUUUUUGGACAUUAUUAAAAGAUAGGUGACAAAAAUUCAAAGUCACUUAAAUCUAACAUUUUGUUAUCUUUUCUGUGAUAAAUAUUUAUAGAAAAAUAUAACCUUAUUAAUAAUGAAUUUAGAGAAAUUUUUUAUAUAAGAAUUUACAUAAUUUAAUAUGACAUACAUUUAAAUUUUGUUAUCAUUAUAAUGGAAAAAAAAUUAUAACAAAGAAAAAAUACAAGAUUAAAAUAUAUGCUAUGAUUUUUUUGGUAAAUAAAAAUUAGGAAGAAGGAACAGUGUCCCAAAUCCCAAUGCCUCAAUUCAAAACAUGAAAACGGUUAAACUCAAGUAAAUAUACAAUGUAAUAUAUGAGACUAUCCUCCUCUACCAACUCUAUAUUCUUUUAUUAUAUUAUCUAAAGAAAACAAAUGUAUUGAAACUCAAUCAACCUCCACCUAAAUUUUAAUUAAUUUUGUUUGAAAAAAAGUCUACUUGAAUUAAUCAUGAAAGAAUGGUGAUUCACAUAUCAUCUUUCAGACUCCAGAGACACCCAACCAUCUUUGUUACAGUUAGAUCACUAGCUACAACGUGAAAAUUUUUAAAAAUGUGUUUUGUGAUGGUCUAUAACUGCCACAAACACGAAGUAUCGAAGUGUCCACACUGUAACGAGAUUCACCAAACGUUUUAUCAUAAAAAAAUUAGGAAGGAAAGCUGAGGUACACCUAACACAACACAACAAGGGAUAAAAAUCUGAGUCCAUCUCAUGGAAUAGGUAUCAUCAUAGCAGUCAAAUUUACAUACAAUGGCUAUGUGUUGACUGUUGAUUGAAUCAAUCAACAAUAAUAAUUCAUGUUUACAACAGAGCAAACCCCGGGGAGUCUGUAAAAUCAAGCAUUUAUUCAAACUUAUUUAUCAUCUCUUCUGUACAUUCCCUCCGGUGGAAACAUCCAAAUUACUAUAAGUCCCAUUAUGUUACAAUGUAGCUAUUGGAUAUAUCCAGAGUUUACAUUAUUUUUUAGGCACAAAGUACUAAAUUGAGGGACGGAGUAUGGUCCAUUCAUCAAACCAUCAGCAAUAAAUCCAUAUGCUGCCUCCGUCAAAUGAAUACCAUCCCACCCAAUAUACUCAGAAGGAUCAUCACAAGCAAUCACUCCAGGACUCCCACAACCUGCUGAUGCAUUGUAAUUGUAAGGACCUCCCAUUCCACAACAUAUUUCCAGACCUCUAAAACCUGCAGCAUCCACAUCAACAUAUAUAUAAAUACAAAUCAUAAUAUUACACUUUCAAAUUAGUUUUAUUAAUUUAUGAAUUAAUGUGUUCAGAUAUAUAUAUUUUUUACCAAAUUUUUGGGGAUUCUGAUAUAAUGGCAAUGCAGCAUUGUAGUAAUCAGCAUAGAUGAUGUUAGCAUGAGGGUGAAGUUCCCGAAGCCUGUGAAUUUCAAGUUGGAGCUUCUGGUUGUAAAAUUCAGCAAACUCGUUUAGCCACUUCAAGCACCCGGCCAGCUUGAUCAUAUUGGUUCUUAUCUGUGGUUUCAUACAUUGUUAAAUAGAUUGCAUUGCAUCCCAGUGGGAAAUUGCCAGGAACCAUGAGCGUGCGUGCACCUAGAUCAAUCAAUUCCUAUAAUCACACAAAAUACAUACAGUUUAUAAAACUCAUAUUCAAAUAGAUUAGUGAGAGAUUCAUAGAAACUACUAUAAAGCAAAAAAUUUCUUGCUACUUACAUUGAUAGCUGAAGUUAUUGCAUUGAUUACUGGCGGUACGUAUGUUUUAAUCUCUGCUAUGCUCAUUCGUCCGAAUAAAGGAUAAUUGAAAUCGUUGCCUCCAAUCUCUCCCACAAUAAAUAAUGAGUUUCCAAGAACUUCAUGGCAGCCUGAAAUAUUAAACCUUGAGUAAAUAUAUAUGGGUGCUACUCCAAUAUGUUCACAAAUACUACUACUUCCGAUUCACUUCCACAUUGCCAACUUGGAAUUCAUAAGGAAAAAAUAGGGAAAAUAUCUAUGUUGAGCCCCCUUUUUCUAAUAAGUUAAGUUGGAACAUCCACGUCAUUGUGGGAUUAGCUCUCCCAAGGUAUUGUAUCUAAUUUGUUUUGUCUAAUUUUUUUCUAAAGUAAAUGAAAGCUAUAGAGUUUUAAUGUCUUCACAUAUUAUUUUCUCUUCAAUCUCAUUUAUACUUAUUUUCUCCUUACAUCUUUAUUUUUUCUUAUCUCAUUAACUAUUAUAUCACUCAUUUAUCUCCUCAUUUUUCUAUCUCGCUCUAAAUGCGAGUGAAUUUGUGAUAUAAAGACAACUUUUUCCAAAGCUAUCUAAUUCUAAAGCAGGAGGCUUUCCCUAUGGGUUUUGAUGUAUCCAUACAAAUGUUACUUUUACCCAAAAAAAUCCUUAUACCUUCAUUUUUUUUCUUAUCACAUACUACUCAUUCCUGUUUAACUGUGGGGAUAGAGUAUAAACACAAAAAUAAAUAGUGCAAUUAAUUUUAUUAAUUUUCGUAAAACUAUUAUUAAUUUUCUUAUUUUACCCUCUAAAAUGUGUUUAUCUUUUCUAAUUUAUUGCUCCUACAAGAACAUUAUAAAAAAAUUAAUUCUUUUUUAAAAUGCUAAAUUAAUAAAUAUCUAAGAAUAUUUUUUCUUCAAAAUAAACCGUUAUUAUAUUUUUAAAGCAAAUAAUCAGUUAAUAGGAAUGAAUGUAAUAUAUAUGUCAUACUCAUAUCAUCAUAUCUUUAUUUUCUUUUCUCUUUUUUAUGUUUUCUUUAGCGUAUGUCGGUCAAAUUUCAGUAUCAACCCAUUUUUUAGCAACAGUGGUAUAUUUACAUCUCAUUUUUUAUACACUUCAUUUUCAUAUAUUUUUAUUUCUAUAUCUCUCCACUUAUUAUUUAUCACAUCUUAUAUUUUUCUCUAUUUUAAUUUUUCUUUUCUUUCCAUCUCUCUCCUUCUCCAUCUCUUUUCAUCUCAUUUUUUAGGUAUAAACAAACAAUUAUUCAUUUUCGAGUUCUCUUUUUUUUUUAUAAACAAAUAUUAGUUGCUAGAAUUGUUAAUAAAUUAAUUCAUCCCCUUCGGGUUCAAACUCGGGACCCUUCACGACACUCAACCCUUAUAUCCUUAGCUCUUACCACUUGAGCUAUCAUUUAAGGAUUAUUCGCUCAGUCCUAUUGAAACACGUGAGAGUCCCAAUAAUAUCUCGCUUGUAGUUGUUGCAAGUUAGGGUCACCCAACAACAACAAAAAACUAGAAAAACGCUCUAUAAUUGAUGACCCCACCCAUGUCUUUUCUAUUUCUCUAAAUCAAGUCUCAACUACUAAUAAUCAACACCGUCCACGAAACACACACACCUAUCAACAGAAACAGGGAGCAAACAACUCCUAUUCAACAUACACACCUAUCAUAAGCUAAGAUAGAAACACACUAAAGGGAUUAUAAUGAACAAAUAUAGUAUUUUUUAUAACAAAUCUUUUUUUAUACCCAUCAAAUAAGAUUUGAUCUCUUAAUUAAAUGCUUAAGGAAAACUUGAUAUUGUUAGUAGACCGUGUUCAUUCAUAUAUAUACUUCCGUAGUACCAAUAAUCAAUCAGUAACCAUAAGACUAAUCACUCAUACAUUACAACAAACUUUGGAAGUUAUGUAAAAAUGGUAGUGAAAAAAUGGCAUCUUACUUGUGGAAGAAUUGCAAAGUGCAGAGAGCAAUUCUUUGAACCAAUUCAAUUGUACCGGCAAAGAGUAAUUGACGGGAAGUUGAAUGCCCUUGUCUUGAAAGAAGGUCUCUUCCAACGCCGUGGCUCCAAUAACAGCAAAAUUGGCUCCCCCCUCUACAUUAAAAUUUUCCAAUCCACCAUGUUUCUUGAUCUCUAGAUACGGUUUCACAAAUGGAAGUCCCAGAGACUCAGCUGAAAACAAACAACCAAACAUGAAACAACCAUAACAUAAACACACACAUAUAUAUAUAUACACUACACAACAGACAUAAGAAAAGAGAAAGAUAUAUAUAAGAUGGUAUAUACCGAUAUAAUCGAUGAUGAUGCGUCCAUCGGAGCAGCGAGCAGAGGGGCGGUGAAAGUAGGUUCGGCCGUAGGGAGGGAAAAAACAAUGGUGAGAGGGUAAUGCGGAGCUGAGGUACAAGUUUCCGGUGUCAGCAAGGGAAUCGCCGAAGCUGAAGAUGGAGGAGAAGGAGCACGCCGUCGCUGAACCAGUUAGAACAACUAGUGCUGCUGCUACCACCAACCAUCUAUGAUCCGCCAUGUGAAUUUUGAUGGCGCAUCACACGAACAACGUCAGUGCUACAUAUAUAUAUGAACCACAUUUAUUCCAACAUAGUAGCUCUUACCUACUUCAAUCAUAUUUUUCCACCACAUUGUAUAUGGUUCACUAAAAGUAUGAGAUUGAUUUUUUUCUAUUUUUUGAGUGGAAAAAUGAACGAAAUUAAU
This 5076-nucleotide long non-coding RNA is filed under the name Lotus japonicus. Its description in RNAcentral is "long non-coding RNA (LJAP_LNC002244)". Lineage: Eukaryota; Viridiplantae; Streptophyta; Magnoliopsida; Fabales; Fabaceae. The record is from RNAcentral.